This 406-nucleotide ribosomal RNA is filed under the name Mirapecten moluccensis. Its description in RNAcentral is "partial 12S ribosomal RNA". It matches the Rfam family "Bacterial small subunit ribosomal RNA", at positions 778 to 1416 of the family's 1533-position model. The record is from RNAcentral. Lineage: Eukaryota; Metazoa; Mollusca; Bivalvia; Pectinida; Pectinidae.
UUAGAGACCCAUUUAUUCCGACGCAAACUCUGCUUUGGCGGCUGCUUGAGGACUACGAGUGCUUAAAACUCAAAGAACUUGGCGGCUUGCUAACUUCCCAGGGGAAUAUGCGCCUUAAUCCGAUGAUCCCCGUAGAAUCUUACUGUGCCUUGAAAGAGUGCAGCUGGUGUAUUGCCGUUGUCAGCUUGUUGUUCGAGCAAGAGUAACAGGCUCAAGGGAGCCGUGUCCAUGAAUUCAGGUCGAAAUGCCGCCGAUGGCACAAGGGAGUGGGUAUUACAGUUUAUAAUUUUGAAUUACGGAUCCUUUGAAAUUGAAGGUGAACUUGGAGGUAAGGGGAGAUUAAUAUGCUGCCCUGAACUGAAUCUAGCUCGAGUACAAACUGCCCGUCGCUCUCGCCAGGUGAGAU